This is a long non-coding RNA of Vigna unguiculata (cowpea), 802 nucleotides long. RefSeq lists it as uncharacterized. NCBI's taxonomy places the organism in Eukaryota, Viridiplantae, Streptophyta, Magnoliopsida, Fabales, Fabaceae. The record is from RefSeq and is a predicted model, not a curated record.
CCUACCGUCACAGGUACUAAGUUUGUUUCUCUUUCCGCUGGAGUAGAAAUGCAAUAUUAUGGCCAUUGUAGUGUUUUUGUUUCUUCUAUCAAAAAGAAUUUGAUGAGGACGGGCACCAGAAGAUCUAAACGUUGAAGGCCUUUGAGUGAUGCUAAAGAAGAUGGUAUGCUUCCCUGUAAAGAAUUUCCUUGCAAAUAGAGGUACUCUAAUGUUAUGCAUUCUCCAAUAGUUUCAGGAAUGUGACCAGACAAAAGAUUCUCAGACACAUCUAGAUGAUUAACAUUUUUCAGCUUUCCCACUUCUUUUGGUAUAUUGCCACUCAAUGAGUUUUGUGACAAUUUCAACAAGAUUGACAAAGAGGAGAGAUUAAAGAUCUCUAAAGGUGGAAAGAAAAAUGGUCGGAUCUAUGAAAUUGGAGAGGUCAUUCGGACUAAACAUAGGGAGAAGCUCACAUAUCAUGGAACUUCAAUUCACUCUCAUGAUUCAUAAGAGAUUGUGCAAUUAAAACAACAAGUUUUGAAUUAUAGAGAGGAUAAUGAAUGGUUAAGUCAAAAAUUACAACAACAACAACGGCAAUUACAAUAAUUUUGUCCUCCAUUUUCUUCCACCUCAUGCACAAACUACAUUUCAACACCAACAAUAGCAAGAGCAACAACACCAACUUGAGGAAGGUCAACAUGUUCUUAAAGCUUAAAGCUUCAUUUUAGAUUAUGAGUUGUCAACACUUGUAUUUUUUUUUUCUAGAUUAAAUGUUGUUACUUUUGAUAUGGAUUUUGUAUUGUUUAUAACUUGAAUUUGGAUU